AGAGGGAUAGCUGGGUCAAAUAGUGGUUCCAUUUCCAGUUUUCCAAGGAAUCUCCAUACUGCUUUCUGUAUUGGCUGCACCAUUUGCAGUCCCACCAGCAAU
This 102-nucleotide microRNA precursor is filed under the name Marmota monax (woodchuck). The record is from RNAcentral. Lineage: Eukaryota; Metazoa; Chordata; Mammalia; Rodentia; Sciuridae.